UGGUAAUUUAUCAUAAUUUGUAUCUAUGUUUUAUGUGGUAUUCCGUCUUGGUUCUUGUUAACUGUCAUGGCCCUGUUUCAAGUCAUACAUGUACUUGUCAUGGAACAGUUUCAAAAGAGUGUGUCUUUUGUUUCUUCAUGUCUUUUACAAUCAUUAAUCAGUUAUUUCGUCCUUUCCAAAUUAGUUCAUAUGUUCAUGUUCUUUGACUUUAAUUUUUUCU
This 220-nucleotide long non-coding RNA is filed under the name Mytilus galloprovincialis (Mediterranean mussel). The record is from RNAcentral. Lineage: Eukaryota; Metazoa; Mollusca; Bivalvia; Mytilida; Mytilidae.